CUUUUCUAGGGCUGCUCCUGCAGCAUAUGGAGGUUCCCAGGCUAGGGGUCAAAUCGGAGCUGUAGCCACCAGCCUACACCACAGCCACAGCAACGUGGAAUCCGAGCCACAUCUGAGACCUACGCCACAGCUCACGGCAAUGCCGGAUCCUUAACUCACUGAGCAAGGCCAGGGAUUGAACCCGCAACCUCAUGGUUCCUAGUCAGAUUCGUUAACCACUGCGCCAGGACGGGAACUCCAGAGACCAUGCAUUUCUUAUUCACGUUUGUACGACUAGUUCCUGGCACUGUACCUUGCACAUAUAAAAUGCUCAAUUCAUUUUUUAACUGAGUAAAAAAAUUUCUGCAGCUUAUUGUAAUAUUACUAUAAGAGUGUUAAUUAUUUUGUUGAAUGAACAAUCAUCUAAACAAGUUUUCAGGAAAAAAAAAUCACCUCCUGGUGCACUGGCAUGCUUCCUGUCACCAGACAAUGACUGAUGUCCAACUCAUAGUGCUUCCCUUUCUGAAACUCUCAAGAAACACAGAGCUGUUCACCAAACAUAAAAUCAAACCACGCUCUCAUUAAAAGCUUUCCAACAGUCAAAAAAAGAGAAAGAAACACAGAAGCCACAGCAGUGACAAUGAGGAACCCAAUGAGCUACAAGGGAACUUCUUUUUUUGCUUAUUUUAAUGCUUUUAUUGGAAGUUGGCUAAAAUAAUUUUGGGGUGUAUCCAUUCAUUAAAAAAAAAUCAAUCUGUCCAUCUAUCUAAUGAGUAGUUGUAUAUGUCAGGCAUGGUGCUAAGCACAAUAACCAAUGGAUGAACAAUGGACAGAGUGCAUGCUGGGACAUGGCUUAAGGAGAAGGGACAGCUGGAGGGCAGCGAGGAGCACUGCAGUGGACAGGAGGGAGGAUAGACUUAGAGCAGAAAGAAAAAGAAAAAGCAGAGCUCAGGAAUAAUGCUCGGGGGACGCUUCAGUGAUGGUAAGAAUGGCUCAUUAAGAUGUUAUGCUGAGGCAGACAGGGAGUAACUACGACACUCACUACGAAGCGGGAAAAAUUCUUAAGACCCAGCCCAGUUGAGCCAACAAGCAGAAUCACCAUGACCCACAUAGGACCAAAAAAGAACAAUAACCUCUGGCCAGAAAUCUGAAGAAAUGAACAAGAGUCAACUACAGUUGACCCGUGAACAACAUUUGUUUGAACUUUGAGGGUCAACCAACAUACAGAUUUUUUUUUUCAAUAGUUAAUAGUGUAGCAUUGAGUGAUCCAUGGUUGGUUAAAUCUGCAGAUAUGGUGGACCUGUGGAUACAGAGGGCUGGCUAUAAAUUAUAGCUGGAUUUCUGACUGCACAGAGAGUCAGCACUUCUAACCACCUACCCCCAACUGUUCAAGGGUCAGCUGUAUUACUACAUCUUCCAAAUAAUUUCAGAUUUCUUACAAUAAAAGGCAAUGAAUUUUUAAUUCACAAGUAUAUACUUUAUUUAGAAAGGUAUGUCAAGAGUUUGGUUAGAAAGUCUACCUACAGGUCAUAUUGUAUAUAGGUAUUCUCAACUAUGUCUAUGUCCUUUCUAUUUAAUUAAAGAACUACAAUAAGGUGGAGUUUUAUUGUUGUUAUAGAGUAAAUGACAGUUUUGAGGAUUGCUAGGAUUCUCUGGUCAUUAUAUUGAUGCCCACCCGAAAAACUUUUCAGCAUGGCUACCUCCAAUCUUCUGUCUUUAUUUUUUUUGGCUAUACCCACAGCAUAUGGAAGUUCCCGAGCUAGGGAUCAAACUCAUGCCACAGCAGUGACCCCAGCUGCUUGCAGUUACAAUGUUGGAUCCUUAACCGACUAUGGCACAAGAGAACUCUCCCUCCAAUCCUUUCUUACUUGAGUUCAGCUAAAGGGGCUUGAGAUGGGGAGAGACAGAGAUGUAGAAUUGAUGGAGGUGGGUUAUAAAUACACAGAAUUUCAGAUUCUUUAUUCAAAGGUGUACUCAUGGGGUUGUUAUUAAUAUGCACUCACUCUUAUUUUAUGGAGAAUUCUAAUACACCUCGAUCUGAUUUACAAACCUGUAAUGGAGGCAAUUAAAUUAGCAGUGGAGUCAAGAAGUGCCAACAUGGAAAGAUAAUAUAAAAAAUACAUUUCCUACGAAAAGGAGACAGAAAAGCUCAGAAAUCACAGCCAGGUGGGGUCAUUCCAUUCAGCAGAAUCUAGGCUCACUGGCAUCACCAAACAGGAGAACAGGGCUAAGUUAUUUUCAGCCAAACUUAAGAUAUCAUACAAGAAAGUAGCUGAUCUGCUAGAAAAGGCUUUCUACUCAAAAGGGUCAAUUCUUUUUCCUUUUUUUUCUUUUUCAACUGCCAUGUUGGGGAGGGAGAAUUAAAUCAUUCACUAGGAAAAAAACGGAGCCACACUGAGAAUUUUGCAAAUAAUGUUCACACAUUUUACUGUUAAGGGCCAGAUUUGAUGAAAUCUAGGUAAAAUCCUGAAAUCAAAUCCCAAUGGUAACUUUAAAGAAAACCAGGGGCUUCACCCUUAUGUAUUUAGAUUAUUUGUAUUAACUAUAGAUAAGCUGGUAGUUGUAACUCGUUACUAGUUGAGCUGACAGUCAUAUCCAACGGAUCUGACUAAUAUUUUUAACCCUAUCAUUCACAUCUCCAGUUUAAAAAGAACAAUUCAUUUUGGGGGGCAUGGUGACAAGAGCUAGCACGUAUUCCCUCUUUUAUUCAAACAGGAGUAUGGGGGUUUUCUCUGAUCUGGGCAGAUGCACCAAACUGCCCAAGUGCAAACAGGAAGAGGAAAGGUGCUGAGGAAUUUAAUGUGUAUUUAUCAAGCAUGGGGGUAAAUAAGACACUUGAGGUUGAGUUUAUAGACCAGCAACACUAAACGAUACCAGAGCAUCACUGCCAUUCAGAAGCCGUUAAGGUCACAGCCCCCACUUAGCAGAAAACUGCCCUUACUCAGGUCACAGGCAAGUGGUACAACCAUUGCAAUGGUAAGAGUCUGGUCACCUCCUUAGGCAGCCUCUGUUCUCUGUACGCCGACAGUGCAUAAUUGGCAGGGAAGGCCACAUGCCAUCGAAAUCAGUGGCCCUGGUGACACUUUGAGGCACACUGCCUCCAACUGUACAAACACUGGGACGGAAGAAGCAAACAGAGGCACAAACAAUUUCCCUAAACACUGUUUUUAAGCUGAUCCUGUAGUUAGUGGUCUGCACAACACAGAAGAAUACAAUCAGGAACAAUGAACCAUUCCGUCACACUACCAGAGACAGUGCUCCUUGUGGCCUCUAUGUUAAACAAAAAGCCAAGCUUGCAAGCGCAACUCUCAACCAUCCUGCCAGUGGAGGAAGUAUAAACACAGCUUCCUGUUUCCUGGCCGACCUCACCUCCAGACACUGACACACGCCUCACUUCCUUCCUCCUGGAAACACAACACUGUGCUUAUAGCUCUUCUGCUCAGUUCUGUGGGCUCUCUCGCUCUCUCUCUCCUUUUUUUUUUUUUUAAACUAGAUAAGCAGCUGUCGGGAAGACAAGUGAUAGAUUACUGGGUAGAGGGUUGGAGAGGAAGAUGGAAGGGGUGCGUACGUUCUGCUGGAAGACAUGGGAGAGGGGAAGCAAAGGAAGACUGCACGUUCGAGCAGAAGCAAUGAUCAGGAGUACAGCGAGCACACUCGUGGGACUUGAGAGCUGCAAGGACUUUCCAAAUCCUUCAGUCCUUCAGUUCCAUCUCCCCACUUUAGAGAAAGGAAAUAAAAGUUGAGAGCCAUUCAGCUCCCUUCCAGGGGUCAUAACGUUAGGCAGUUAACAUAAUUAGGGCUCCCCUAACUAUCGGCCCCCCUGCGGGAAAUAACUAACACUGAAUAAUUACCCUUCUCCUGAGAAACAACAUGUUUUUCACCUCGAGGUUGCUGUGAAGUGUUGAACAGAGCAGGUUUCCCUGUUCACUGGAGGAAGCGAAUCUUCAAGAGAAGCCUGGGGCCCGUUCAUUAAUCAAGCAUUCCAGGCAGUAAGGCUUUUUUCUUAACUCAUUUCUAGCUCCCUCUUAUGCCUUCUUUUUCCCUCCUUUCUUCUAGGACUUCUAUUCAUUAUCUUUGUUCUCCUGCAUUUCAUAGAUCUUUGCAAACUCGCUUUCUGUUCCCUUCUGGAACAAAGCAGCAUGUUAUAAAUACCUCCUAUAAUACUUGCCCUUCCAAGGAACUUGGUGUGUUUCACACAAGUUGGUGUGUUCACCGAUUCUCACUGGAAUGUAUAAAGGAGGGAGGUCGAGUAUUGCUGUUUUCCUUUACACGGUUGUGUCAAGAAUCUGACAUCAGUCUUAGGACUGGCACGCUCAUACUUAUUCCUGUAAAAUAUACAGAUGACCCUUUGAAAAUGCAGCAGUUGGGGUCACCAACCCUCCAGCAGUGGAAAAUCAUAACCUAUAGUCACUCCUCUGCAUCUGUAGUUCCUCCAUUUCCUCAGAUUUGCAUCUGCAGAUCGUGUUACUCUAAUACACACUACUGGAAAAAUCCACGUAUAAGAGGAACUGCACAUUUCAAAUGCAUCUUGUUCAAUGGUCAAGUGUAAUUCUUCCUGAGUAAGAACUGUUGUUAUACUAAUUGAAAACUCAGUUCCUAUAUAUAUAUAUAUUCUUAAAAAUAUAUCAUAUUUUGCUUAAAUUAAAUUAAGAAGCACCUUAGCAAACCUUAUGCCUUUAAGGCACAUUUUCAUUCAAAUGAAAGACAUGUCAGGCUGAGAAGAAAAUGAAAUAUAUUUCUAAAGGAACUGCACAAAAGAGUAGCAGAAGGUGCCCAUGUGCUGAAAAUUAUUGUUUCGCUCCAUUUCCAUACGUUCACAAAGAGCAUAAUAAUUUACACCACCUUCCAUCUGUUCAGCUGCCCACGGCAUCAUUUUUAUUUGGACAAUUUUACCGAGGGAGGAAAAAAAAAUCCAGUGGAAUAGAGAAAGUAACCAGGUAUUCUUUUCUAUUCCAUCUCCACUGAGGAUGAAGGGCUUGGGGCUGGAUUUGUGAGUCUCUCUCAAGCUUCAGGACACAAGCAACCAGAGAGUAAGAACAUACCACGGCUCGACAGUACCAGGUGACAACCAGACACCUUUUCAAGCCUGGAUGAUUCCACUCCAAAGAAGGGUGGCACCUGCCCUUCCACACCUACGAGGGCUCUUAAAGGGCCCUACAUAAUUUAUGUGGCUUGAAGGGAUGUGAAAUGCAACCUAAGAUGUAAGCGUUUAAAUUUAGAAGCAGAGAAGGCACCAGGCCAGGCUUAGAAAUGUAAACACUUGUUCAAUGCCAGGCCUCCAUGAGGCCCUGCAGCUCCUGCCCCUUAUCUCUGGUGCAUCUCUACAAUUCUGGGUCCUUUAAGAAGGCCGUCUUCUCAGGCCAUGCACGCAGCUUUGGGGCCCCCCUGGAGCAUGUAUCACAUCACCGAGCACGCAGCAUCUCUUCCUGAAGACUAUUACACAUUGCUUAGUCUACACAUGUGCUACGCUAAUGUGCAAAACACUCCCCUUACUUUUUGGCUGACCUGGUAAUCCGGGGCUGCCUGCUACUGUGUGGGGAGAUCAUCGGAGAUUCCAGGCUAACUGUGCUAAGGGAACUAGUGUGCUAUUUGCACACACUGUAAAGGGGGACUUCAUACCAAGAAAAGCAAAGUCUCCUGAUGUGGGUGGAAAAAAAAAAAUCAAAAGAAGGCGCUAUAGCUUUCCACUCGGCACUCAUUUUAUUAGUUAUUAGUGAGGAAGGACAGUUUUAGGCAAGCUCCUGGGUAUUGCUCUAACACACUGCAUCUCAUGAAGAAGCUACAAAGGCCUCUUUUGUCCUCAUGGUAAAGGUCCCUGUACAGAAAGGAAUCAAAAUGUCAGCAUUUUCCUGUCUUGCUCCUAAGGGAGAUCAGUCUUUGAAGAGGCUAUCAAACUAGCCAAAUUCAGCAUCCUUGCUUUAAUUA
Molecule: long non-coding RNA, 5904 nt
Filed under: Sus scrofa (pig)
Lineage: Eukaryota; Metazoa; Chordata; Mammalia; Artiodactyla; Suidae
Description: lncRNA (ENSSSCG00035003075.1)
Source: RNAcentral